Oncorhynchus gorbuscha (pink salmon) is the source of this 3515-nucleotide RNA transcript. It is a transcript of the gene named serine/threonine-protein kinase DCLK1-like, with no coding region annotated. The record is from RefSeq and is a predicted model, not a curated record. The transcript is spliced from 13 exons. Lineage: Eukaryota; Metazoa; Chordata; Actinopteri; Salmoniformes; Salmonidae.
UUAAACCAGAGCCCUAUGGAACCCUAUUCCCUAUGUAGUGCCCUACCUUAGACCAGAGCCCUAUGGGGGAAGGGGUGCCGUUUGGGAUGCAGCCUUGGUCUGUAUGUUACUGUAGUCUGACCAGCAUUGGUUCAGUCAUAGAUAGUCAUUACAGUCUUGUGUUGUAGUCCUGGUAGUUUUAGUAGUUUACAGCGGUUUGCAUUCAAUCUCUGUCUGUCUGUCUGUCUCCAGACCUUCUCUAUCAACUUGACCGCCUGCCUCACAUCUCUCUCUCUCGCUCUCUGUCUCUCUCUCUCCAUCUCUCUGAGGAGAAAGAAACAGCCAUCUGAACCCCUAGCUCUCUCAACCUGGAGACAGGACGGAUAUAUGUCCUUAUAUGGGCAUUCUCCUUCUCUCGCCGAACAGUUUCCACAGCAACAGUAUUUAGUUUCCCUCGGUGACAGGGAUGGAAGCGACGGGAGAGAGAAAGAUCAGAACAGGAAGAACGAUGGAGGACAAACCAAAACAAGAAGAGAGGUCAACAUGAGUCAUCAGUCAGUGACCACGACAGAAAGUGAUGAUUACCCUCUCACUCCUGUAUAGUGAUGAUGGCAACUUCUAGGAGGGUUAAGGAUGACUGAUUCUGUGAUGAGUCUUGCUGCUACUCUGGCUACGGACGGGCGGACGGACGGACGGACGGACGGACAGACAGACAGACAGACAGUGGCUCCAUCCCAAAUAUGUUUAAAUGCAGUCUCAGGGUUCGUCUAUCUCUCUGGCCUCUACCAAAGUCUGUAAUUCAUUGGCUGAAGGGGAUGGACCGGUCACUGAAUUAGUAGAGGAUGAGAUCCCGGCGGUGCCUGUCUCCAUAUCAGAGCGCUACAGAGUGGGACGUACUUUGGGAGAUGGGAACUUUGCGGUGGUCCGGGAAUGUGUGGAACACUCUACAGGCAGAGAAUACGCCCUGAAGAUCAUUAACAAGGGCCGGCGCCGGGGCAAGGAGCACAUGAUCCAGAAUGAGGUAGCCAUCCUCAGGAAGGUGAAACACCCCAACAUUGUCCUGCUGAUUGAGGAGAUGGACACUUACAGCGAGCUCUACCUGGUCAUGGAACUGGUUAAGGGGGGCGAUCUGUUUGAUGCCAUCACGUCCACUAACAGAUACACAGAGAGAGACGCCAGCGGGAUGCUGUUCAACCUGGCCAACGCCAUCAAAUACCUCCACAGCCUCAACAUCGUACACAGGGACGUCAAACCAGAAAACCUACUGGUGUAUGAGCAUGUUGAUGGCAGUAAGAGUCUGAAGUUGGGAGACUUUGGUCUGGCCACGGUAGUAGACGGACCUCUCUACACAGUCUGUGGGACACCCACAUAUGUAGCACCCGAGAUCAUCGCAGAGACAGGGUAUGGCCUUAAGGUAGAUAUCUGGGCAGUAGGAGUCAUCGCCUACAUCUUGUUGUGUGGCUUCCCUCCCUUUCGUGGGAGCAGUGAUGACCAGGAGUUGUUGUUUGACCAGAUCCUAAUGAGGCAGCUGGAGUUCCCUCUCCUUUACUGGGACAAUGUGUCAGAGACUGCCAAGGAGCUGAUCAGGUCCAUGCUGCAGGUGGAGGUGGAUCAGAGAUACACAGCAGUACAGGUGUUGGAGCACCCUUGGGUCAAGGAUGGCGGUGUGUCAGAGAAUGAACAGGAGCUGUCAGUAGCAGGAAAGUUAAAGAAGCACUUCAACACCGGCCCUAAAGCGAAUGACACCACCGCCGGGGUGUCUGUCAUUACGUUGGAGCACAGCUUCUGUUUGCAGCGCUCUGGGUCGUUGGACUUCUACCAGCACCCGGCCAUGUACUGGAUAAGGCCACCGCUCUUGAUAAGGAGGGGCAGGUUCUCAGACGAAGACGCAACCAGGAUGUGAGCUCAUGCCUGUUGCCGUUGAUGACAACAACAACAUAAAUGGACAUACCGCCCAGCCUGACCAUCACCCCCCUCUCUAUGACCUUUAACCUCGUCUCCGCCCUUAAUCCCUCCCAUAGCACCAUUCUCACGGGAGAGGUGAAGAGAUGGAACAGGGAACAGGGGACGGCCGAUAGUCCAAAAACAGGAAAAGAAGAAGGGAGAAAAAGAGAAACAUUGUCCCAUGGGACAGAGAGCUGGAGAUCUGGGCAGACAUGUCAGUUAACCCUUUGUGAGGAUCUAUGCUCAACAUGGUAACAGGUCACCUCCACCAGUCUGGGUCAACAUGGUAACAGGUCUACUCCACUAGAUACAGUCUGGGUCAACAUGAUAACAGGUCUACUCCACUAGAUACAGUCUGGGUCAACAUGGUAACAGGUCAUCUCCACCAGUCUGGGUCAACAUGAUAACAGGUCUACUCCACUAGAUACAGUCUGGGUCAACAUGGUAACAGGUCACCUCCACUAGAUACAGUCUGGGUCAACAUGGUAACAGGUCACCUCCACUAGAUACAGUCUGGGUCAACAUGGUAACAGGUCUCCUCCACCAGUCUGGGUCAACAUGGUAACAGGUCACCUCCACCAGUCUGGGUCAACAUGGUAACAGGUCACCUCCACCAGUCUGGGUCUACAUGGUAACAGGUCACCUCCACCAGUCUGGGUCAACAUGGUAAUGGGUCCUCUCCACCAGUCUGGGUCAACAUGGUAACAGGUCACCUCCACUAGAUACAGUCUGGGUCAACAUGGUAACAGGUCACCUCCACUAGAUACAGUCUGGGUCAACAUGGUAACAGGUCACCUCCACCAGUCUGGGUCAACAGGGUAACAGGUCACCUCCACUAGAUACAGUCUGGGUCAACAUGGUAACAGGUCUACUCCACCAGUCUGGGUCAACAGGGUAACAGGUCUACUCCACUAGAUACAGUCUGGGUCAACAUGGUAACAGGUCACCUCCACCAGUCUGGGUCAACAGGGUAACGGGUCAUCUCCACCAGUCUGGGUCAACAUGGUAAUGGGUCAUCUCCACCAGUCUGGGUCAACAGGGUAAUGGGUCACCUCCACCAGUCUGUGUUAACAUGGUAACAGGUCACCUCCACUAGAUACAGUCUGGGUCAACAUGGUAACAGGUCACCUCCACUAGAUACAGUCUGGGUCAACAUGGUAACAGGUCACCUCCACUAGAUACAGUCUGGGUCACCAUGGUAACAGGUCACCUCCACCAGUCUGGGUCAACAGGGUAACAGGUCAUCUCCACCAGUCUGGGUCAACAGGGUAAUGGGUCACCUCCACCAGUCUGGGUCAACAUGGUAAUGGGUCACCUCCACCAGUCUGGGUCAACAUGGUAAUGGGUCACCUCCACCAGUCUGGGUCUACAUGGUAAUGGGUCACCUCCACCAGUCUGGGUCAACAGGGUAACAGGUCACCUCCACCAGUCUGGGUCAACAUGGUAAUGGGUCACCUCCACCUGUCUGGGUCAACAUGGUAACAGGUCACCUCCACCAGUCUGGGUCAACAGGGUAAUGGGUCACCUCCACCAGUCUGGGUCUACAUGGUAAUGGGUCACCUCCACCAGUCUGGGUCAACAUGGUAAUGGGU